AAUCGUGUUCUUCAGUGAGAAAUUUGAGAGAAAAGCGUGACGGAGAGACUAAUUAGCUUCAGUUCAUCUUGCCAACAAGCCCAAAGUAAUCAAUUCCUUCUUAUUCUCCUCUUCUAAACAUAAAACAAAAAAUCAACCACUUCAGCUAACAAAAAGACUGUUUUAGUACUUACGCUUGACGAAAUAGGUAUCGGAAAAGAGAAUCGUACUUACACUUGAAGAAAUCGUUAUCGGAGAAGACGACUUCAGCUAUCAGUUCUUCGAUGACUUCAACUCUUCAACUCUUCAGCUCAGUUCUUCGACGACUUCAACUCUUCAGCGU
This 322-nucleotide long non-coding RNA is filed under the name Solanum tuberosum (potato). RNAcentral's name for it is "long non-coding RNA (STUB_LNC007315)". The record is from RNAcentral. Lineage: Eukaryota; Viridiplantae; Streptophyta; Magnoliopsida; Solanales; Solanaceae.